UACGUAGGGUGCAAGCGUUGUCCGGAAUUAUUGGGCGUAAAGAGCUCGUAGGCGGUCUGUCGCGUCGGCUGUGAAAUCCCGAGGCUCAACCUCGGGUCUGCAGUCGAUACGGGCAAACUAGAGUAUUGCAGGGGAGACUGGAAUUCCUGGUGUAGCGGUGAAAUGCGCAGAUAUCAGGAGGAACACCGGUGGCGAAGGCGGGUCUCUGGGCAAUAACUGACGCUGAGGAGCGAAAGCGUGGGGAGCGAACGGG
RNAcentral lists this ribosomal RNA (253 nucleotides) under uncultured bacterium. Its description in RNAcentral is "partial 16S ribosomal RNA". It matches the Rfam family "Bacterial small subunit ribosomal RNA", at positions 524 to 776 of the family's 1533-position model. The record is from RNAcentral.